CGAGUAGGUGGCUAGGCAAGUCAGGUGUGAAAGCCCCCGGCUCAACUGGGGAAUUGCACUUGAAACUGCUCUGCUCGAGGACAGGAUAGGAGAGCGGAAUUCUCGGUGUAGCGGUGAAAUGCGUAGAUAUCGAGAAGAACACCAGUGGCGAAGGCGGCCCUCUGGACUGUUUCUGACACUGAGGAGCGAAAGCGUGGGGAGUGAACG
This 207-nucleotide ribosomal RNA is filed under the name uncultured bacterium. RNAcentral's name for it is "partial 16S ribosomal RNA". It matches the Rfam family "Bacterial small subunit ribosomal RNA", at positions 568 to 774 of the family's 1533-position model. The record is from RNAcentral.